UAGGGAAUAUUGGACAAUGGGGGCAACCCUGAUCCAGCCAUGCCGCGUGAGCGAAGAAGGCCCUCGGGUUGUAAAGCUCUUUUGUCCGGAAAGAAAAGCUUCGGGUUAAUACCCCGGUGUUCUGACGGUACCGGAAGAAUAAGCACCGGCUAACUUCGUGCCAGCAGCCGCGGUAAUACGAAGGGUGCAAGCGUUACUCGGAAUUACUGGGCGUAAAGCGUGCGUAGGUGGUUGUUUAAGUCUGGUGUGAAAGCCCGGGGCUCACCCCCGGAAGGGCACUGGAGACUGGGAGGCUAGGGUACCGGAGAGGAAGGUGGAAUUCCUGGUGUAGCGGUGAAAUGCGUAGAUAUCAGGAGGAACACCGGUGGCGAAGGCGGCCUUCUGGACGGCUACUGACGCUGAGACGCGAAAGCGUGGGGAGCAAACA
Molecule: ribosomal RNA, 427 nt
Filed under: uncultured bacterium
Lineage: Bacteria
Description: bacterial SSU rRNA
Rfam family: Bacterial small subunit ribosomal RNA
Source: RNAcentral